RNAcentral lists this long non-coding RNA (343 nucleotides) under Manihot esculenta (cassava). Its description in RNAcentral is "long non-coding RNA (MESC_LNC006985)". Lineage: Eukaryota; Viridiplantae; Streptophyta; Magnoliopsida; Malpighiales; Euphorbiaceae. The record is from RNAcentral.
UCAAGGUCGAGCUCCCAGCUCGGACCGAUAUUCACAAAGGCCCAAGACCGAGCUCUCAGCUCGGAUAGACUCAUAUCCUUAAAGGAUCAAGAUACGAAGGCCAAAGAGAAAGGCCGAGCUCCCUCCAUAGAAGGACUCAUAAAUGAAGAAAUCCUUAGGAGGAUAAAAAGGCUAUAAUCAAAGCCUAAAUCAGUUUAUCUAGAACAAAUAUACGAAGUCACAACCAAGAAAGAAGGACUAAAAGCCAAAAACUGACAUGAUAGUUGCCAUUAAAAAGGUACGAGAUUUGAUCUCUCAGACUAUCAGCUAAGAGCUGAGCUCGCAACUUAAGAUUAAUUCAGAG